GCAGUCGAACGAUGAAGCCCAGCUUGCUGGGCGGAUUAGUGGCGAACGGGUGAGUAAUACGUGAGUAACCUGCCUUUAACUCUGGGAUAAGCCUUGGAAACGGGGUCUAAUACCGGAUACGACCAACCCUCGCAUGGGGUGUUGGUGGAAAGGGAUUUUGUACUGGUUUUAGAUGGGCUCACGGCCUAUCAGCUUGUUGGUGAGGUAACGGCUCACCAAGGCGACGACGGGUAGCCGGCCUGAGAGGGUGACCGGCCACACUGGGACUGAGACACGGCCCAGACUCCUACGGGAGGCAGCAGUGGGGAAUAUUGCACAAUGGGCGCAAGCCUGAUGCAGCGACGCCGCGUGAGGGAUGACGGCCUUCGGGUUGUAAACCUCUUUCAGCAGGGGAGAAGCGAAAGUGACGGUACCUGCAGAAGAAGCGCCGGCUAACUACGUGCCAGCAGCCGCGGUAAUACGUAGGGCGCGAGCGUUGUCCGGAAUUAUUGGGCGUAAAGAGCUUGUAGGCGGUUUGUCGCGUCUGCUGUGAAAGCCCGGGGCUUAACCCCGGGUUUGCAGUGGGUACGGGCAGACUAGAGUGCAGUAGGGGAGACUGGAAUUCCUGGUGUAGCGGUGAAAUGCGCAGAUAUCAGGAGGAACACCAAUGGCGAAGGCAGGUCUCUGGGCUGUAACUGACGCUGAGAAGCGAAAGCAUGGGGAGCGAACAGGAUUAGAUACCCUGGUAGUCCAUGCCGUAAACGUUGGGCACUAGGUGUGGGGAACAUUCCACGUUUUCCGCGCCGUAGCUAACGCAUUAAGUGCCCCGCCUGGGGAGUACGGCCGCAAGGCUAAAACUCAAAGAAAUUGACGGGGGCCC
This 859-nucleotide ribosomal RNA is filed under the name Rothia marina. RNAcentral describes it as "bacterial SSU rRNA". It matches the Rfam family "Bacterial small subunit ribosomal RNA", at positions 57 to 922 of the family's 1533-position model. Lineage: Bacteria; Bacillati; Actinomycetota; Actinomycetes; Micrococcales; Micrococcaceae. The record is from RNAcentral.